RNAcentral lists this long non-coding RNA (568 nucleotides) under Gossypium barbadense (sea-island cotton). RNAcentral describes it as "long non-coding RNA (GBAR_LNC019383)". The record is from RNAcentral. Lineage: Eukaryota; Viridiplantae; Streptophyta; Magnoliopsida; Malvales; Malvaceae.
CGAAACUAUCCGGUACGCAUAGUAGCCUGCACAUAGUACUACACAUGCGACCUAUCAUUCCGGUACACGUAGUAGCCUGCACAUAGUACUACACACAUGACCAUCAUUUUCACUUUUACAUAGUGGCCUACACACAAUCCGUGCCACACAUGUGAUUAUUUCUGUCACUUCAUUCGUAUCCCUUUUUAUUCCAAAGGUUCAUUGGGGAAAUUUUCACUUUUUCUCACUUUUCUUUUUAUCGAUCAAUUUCAAUUUCUCGUCUUCUUGAUUUAUAACAAUACAUUUAACUUAUAUAACCUUCAUACUAUUCAUUCCAGUCCAAAAAUCAUACUUUGGAAAAAUUACGUUUUUACCCCUAAAGUUUCACAAAAUUACAAUUUUUCCCCUAGGCUCGUAAAUUAAAUUUUAUUCAAUUUCCUUACAUUUUAGGUCUAGCUGAACCAUUUUCAUAACUAUAGCAGUCCACAAUACUCACUUAUUCACACACUUGUGACAUAUUUUAUAACUUUUACAAAUUAAUCUUUUUAGGCAUUUUCAUCGAAAAUUACUUAGUACAAAUCGUUUAUCA